Molecule: long non-coding RNA, 557 nt
Organism: Musa acuminata AAA Group (dessert banana)
Lineage: Eukaryota; Viridiplantae; Streptophyta; Magnoliopsida; Zingiberales; Musaceae
Exons: 2
Source: RefSeq, a predicted model, not a curated record
GGCCCACAAGGCGGAGCGCCAGGACCAUCGUCACCACCCCUGCGAAGGCAAGCACCGUCUCGAGCGCCAUCGACACCCAGGAUCCGCCAUCGCGACUGCUCGUAUUGCGUGAGCCCAUCUCCACCGUCCUUUGCGUCGGCAGUAGAGCAGAGGGGGUUCAUUUAUAACAAGAAUGCUUUGAGAUGGGAGGUGAUGAACAACAAUGAUGGAACUUGGACCGUUCGAUGAGGUGCAAUCUGUGGUGCCAGAGACAUCUCCAUCCUUGGCUCAACGAAGAUAAUGGAUUGGACGGUCAAGAUUUACUGUUACCCCAGAUCACACGGAAUGAUGAGGUGGUGGACAGGCAGAGCGCGAGGAGGUGCAUGCGUGGCCACUAGGCGGGCCCCAUAUCCACGUAAGUUUUACGCUGCUCAAAGAAGUCGAACUUGAAGCGUCGGGAACUCUGUUGAAGUUGGUGGCCAACUUCAUAGUGCUUCGGCACACGUCCACAAAACGGUAGCCAUGCAAGCGAUUUAUGGUCACAUAUUUGCACGUAAUGUUUAAGAUGUCUUCUUCUU